CGUGGAUUGAUUUGUCUGGUUAAUUCCGAUAACGAACGAGAUUGGAGCUUAAUUAAAUAGAAAGAUCAUUUUUUCCUUCUUUUCUGUAAAAGGAAUUGAAGCGUGAUUCUUUUCUUCUUAAUAGGAUUUGCGGCGUUCCAGUCGUAAGAAACCCAGCAAUAACAGGUCUGUGAUGCCCUAAGAUGUCUGGGGCUGCACGCGCGCUACAAUGAAAAUUGCAGCGCGUGUGACCAUAACCGAAAGGUUUUGGUAAACGAGUCAAAUUAUUCCGUAUUUGGGAUCGAAUAUUGUAAUUAUUAUUCGUGAACGAGGAACUUCAAGUAAGUGUAAGUCAUCAGCUUACGCUGAAUACGUCCCUGCCCUUUGUAC
This 369-nucleotide ribosomal RNA is filed under the name Nematoda environmental sample. RNAcentral describes it as "SSU rRNA". It matches the Rfam family "Eukaryotic small subunit ribosomal RNA", at positions 1300 to 1665 of the family's 1831-position model. The record is from RNAcentral. Lineage: Eukaryota; Metazoa; Nematoda.